GCCCUUCUACACUGUUGGUUGGAGCAUGGCACUGAUAAUGCCAAGGUUGCAGGUUUGAUCCCUGUAAGGGACA
This 73-nucleotide transfer RNA is filed under the name Podarcis lilfordi (Lilford's wall lizard). RNAcentral's name for it is "tRNA.Ser". The record is from RNAcentral. Lineage: Eukaryota; Metazoa; Chordata; Lepidosauria; Squamata; Lacertidae.